This 1222-nucleotide long non-coding RNA is filed under the name Carassius auratus (goldfish). RNAcentral describes it as "lncRNA (ENSCARG00000043752.1)". The record is from RNAcentral. Lineage: Eukaryota; Metazoa; Chordata; Actinopteri; Cypriniformes; Cyprinidae.
ACACCAGAGCACCGCGCUGCUGAAUUGAGCUCUUUUGCUUUUCGCUCUUUUUUCUGUUUAUUUAAACUGCGAUUUCGAUUUGAAUUUGUUCGUUCAGGUCCAGGAGGAAGUGAACGUCCUGAACGACAGCUCUGUUCAGUGUUGCUGUCCCUGUCCGCGAUACGCGCGGCUCUCUCUCGUGCACACGCCAGUCAUCAGCUGCUCAGUUCAGUUUCCCGCAGCGCUGGGCUGAAGCCAACUUGAUGUGUUGAAUGCUCGGAGCACGUUAUAAAACGUAUUCUUAAAAUACACAUUUCUGUUUUAAAAAAUGGUCAUAUUAAAUCAUAGCAUAACACAUAAGUAGGUACAAAAAUAAUCAGUGAUGCAUGCGACCCUUUUGGUCUCAGUGUAGCUCCCUGCUUUACCAUGUUAUGCAACGCUGAGCAAUCGCUGCGACGUUCAGAGAAAUCUCACAAGCAUAUAUAAACACUCAUUUUCAUGUGUAGGCUAUAAUAUAUUCUUCUAAUUGUUUUGUGCCGUUUCGCUGCAGUGUUUUAAUGUGAAAGGCUGUAAAUGUGUACUUCAAGUGUUCAGAGAAAUACAUCGCGAGCUCGCUGUGACGUUCAGCAUGAUGAUUCAGUUAGAAACCAGCUAAGACCAGCGUGACAGUGGCCAAAACUACUUUGAAACCAUAUUAUUCUAAUUGUUUUGUGCCGUUUCGCUGCAGUGUUUUAAUGUGAAAGGCUGUAAAUUCUCUGUGGACUUCAAGUGUUCAGAGAAAUACAUCGCCAGCUCGCGAGCAGUUGGCUGCCGCGAAUAUAUCAUGUUAUUACUUUAAACAGUUCAGAAACAUCUCAAUUUAGCUCUUGGUGUGUUCUAACGUGUGGAUUGCAUGCAAUCGCGUUUUUAAAAGGUCUUAAAUAAGAAUAAAUUCGCUUGUUGUCGGCUCCGUGUAGACAGCCUGAGCUGAGCAGCAGCGAUUCUUCUCUCGUCUGACUGCUCUCCUCCCCUAAAUCUCAUUGCAACUGUAGGGGCGCAAUUUUUCUUUUUUUUUUUUACAUUUAAAAAUUAAUAAUAAAAAAACUUUAAGUCUGAUCACUCUGAAAAGAUAUAGCACACACCACCCCUCUAUCCCGCAGGUGUCUGCCGAGUUUGGGGCUUGUGGCUUUAAAGCCCUAGGAGGAGUAGCGUUCAGAAUUUUUUUCUCAGAAGAAUAAUAAUAAUAAAAAUAAAAAUAAAAAUA